RNAcentral lists this unclassified non-coding RNA (457 nucleotides) under uncultured Calcarisporiella. Its description in RNAcentral is "partial contains 5.8S ribosomal RNA, internal transcribed spacer 2, and large subunit ribosomal RNA". The record is from RNAcentral. Lineage: Eukaryota; Fungi; Ascomycota.
AACGCAACUUGCGCUCUCUGGUAUUCCGGGGAGCAUGCCUGUUUGAGUAUCGCAAAGCAACACAAAUCAUAUUCUUUUUUUGUUUGAAAAAAGAAUAUGGAGUUGAGCCUAUUUUUCUCUCUCUUUUUUUUUGGAGGGAGGGGGAAUGGCUUGAAAUACAGAAGGACGGGAGUUCUUUAUAUUUUAUAUGAAGGACUCCAUCAGGUCAAACAAUUUUAUACUUGAGCAAAUAAUUAGUUAAUGCUUUGAAUGAAAAAUUUAUUUUUUAUUCGAGCGUUAUUCUUCUUUGCUCGGUAGUCUGGCUUGGUAAUUUUAGUCGUCCUCACACUUUUUCCCGAUUUUUUUCUUUUAGAAAAAGCCCGGGAGAGGGGAAACAGCGAUAAAAAGCUCGACGAAGUUUUUUAUGACUUCCGACCUCUUAGAUCUCAAAUCAGGCAAGAGUACCCGCUGAACUUAA